RNAcentral lists this ribosomal RNA (678 nucleotides) under uncultured Vibrio sp. RNAcentral's name for it is "bacterial SSU rRNA". It matches the Rfam family "Bacterial small subunit ribosomal RNA", at positions 56 to 714 of the family's 1533-position model. The record is from RNAcentral. Lineage: Bacteria; Pseudomonadati; Pseudomonadota; Gammaproteobacteria; Vibrionales; Vibrionaceae.
UGCAAGUCGAGCGGAACGACUUAACUGAACCUUCGGGGGACGUUAAGGGCGUCGAGCGGCGGACGGGUGAGUAAUGCCUGGGAAAUUGCCCUGAUGUGGGGGAUAACCAUUGGAAACGAUGGCUAAUACCGCAUAAUAGCUUCGGCUCAAAGAGGGGGACCUUCGGGCCUCUCGCGUCAGGAUAUGCCCAGGUGGGAUUAGCUAGUUGGUGAGGUAAGGGCUCACCAAGGCGACGAUCCCUAGCUGGUCUGAGAGGAUGAUCAGCCACACUGGAACUGAGACACGGUCCAGACUCCUACGGGAGGCAGCAGUGGGGAAUAUUGCACAAUGGGCGCAAGCCUGAUGCAGCCAUGCCGCGUGUAUGAAGAAGGCCUUCGGGUUGUAAAGUACUUUCAGCAGUGAGGAAGGUGGUGUCGUUAAUAGCGGCAUCACUUGACGUUAGCUGCAGAAGAAGCACCGGCUAACUCCGUGCCAGCAGCCGCGGUAAUACGGAGGGUGCGAGCGUUAAUCGGAAUUACUGGGCGUAAAGCGCAUGCAGGUGGUUCGUUAAGUCAGAUGUGAAAGCCCGGGGCUCAGCCUCGGAAUAGCAUUUGAAACUGGCGGACUAGAGUACUGUAGAGGGGGGUAGAAUUUCAGGUGUAGCGGUGAAAUGCGUAGAGAUCUGAAGGAAUACCGGUC